CUCUUGGUGUAUGCUAAGUAAUUUCUGCCCUAUGAUUAAUUUAAAUGGCCGCAGUAUUUUGACUGUGCAAAGGUAGCAUAAUCACUUGUCUCUUAAUUAGAGGCUAGAAUGAAAGAGGCGACGAGAUCUAAACUAUUUAAGUUUAAAAUUAAAUUGACAGGCAUAUUAAAAGGUCUGCAUGCACCAGGGGGACGAUAAGACCCUAUAAAACUUUACUUUUUGUGGUAUAAUUGUUAGAAUUUUAUUACACGUGGGAGUUAAACUGGGGCGGUUUCUAUAUAAACAAUUGUAUAUAUAAUAUAUUAAAUAAUUGUUAAGAACUAUGUGUUAAAUAGAACAAGUUACUUUAGGGAUAACAGCGUAAUUUUCUCAGAUAGUUCUUAUUGACGGGAGAGCUUACGACCUCGAUGUUGAAUUGGGGAGUCUUGUAUAAGC
RNAcentral lists this ribosomal RNA (435 nucleotides) under Proasellus intermedius. Its description in RNAcentral is "partial 16S ribosomal RNA". It matches the Rfam family "Bacterial large subunit ribosomal RNA", at positions 1835 to 2556 of the family's 2925-position model. Lineage: Eukaryota; Metazoa; Arthropoda; Malacostraca; Isopoda; Asellidae. The record is from RNAcentral.